UGGGGAAUAUUGCACAAUGGGGGAAACCCUGAUGCAGCGACGCCGCGUGAACGAAGAAGGUAUUCGUAUCGUAAAGUUCUGUCCUAUGGGAAGAUAAUGACAGUACCAUAGAAGAAAGCUCCGGCUAAAUACGUGCCAGCAGCCGCGGUAAUACGUAUGGAGCGAGCGUUGUCCGGAAUAUUUGGGCGUAAAGGGUACGCAGGCGGUUUAAUAAGUCGAAUGUUAAAGAUCGGGGCUCAACCCCGUAAAGCAUUGGAAACUGAUAAACUUGAGUAGUGGAGAGGAAAGUGGAAUUCCUAGUGUAGUGGUGAAAUACGUAGAUAUUAGGAGGAAUACCAGUAGCGAAGGCGACUUUCUGGACACAAACUGACGCUGAGGUACGAAAGCGUGGGGAGCAAACAGG
Molecule: ribosomal RNA, 403 nt
Filed under: bacterium
Lineage: Bacteria
Description: partial 16S ribosomal RNA
Rfam family: Bacterial small subunit ribosomal RNA
Source: RNAcentral